ACGAUCACAUCCCGAUAAAAAACUGGUUCCCGUACGAUCACCGUAGUUAAGUAACGUCGAGCCUGGUCAGUAUCUAGACGGGUGACCGUUUGGAAAUGCCCGGUGCUGUAAG
Non-coding RNA from Acanthosepion pharaonis, 112 nucleotides. NCBI's taxonomy places the organism in Eukaryota, Metazoa, Mollusca, Cephalopoda, Sepiida, Sepiidae. The record is from the annotation of a GenBank genome assembly.